Molecule: long non-coding RNA, 3335 nt
Organism: Ctenopharyngodon idella (grass carp)
Lineage: Eukaryota; Metazoa; Chordata; Actinopteri; Cypriniformes; Xenocyprididae
Exons: 3
Source: RefSeq, a predicted model, not a curated record
UUACAAUAACAAUAACAAACAUAAUACAAUAAAUAAAUGAAAAAUUUGACAUUAUUACUGCUUUCUAAAGACAGAAAUCAUGACACUAAUAUUUUUUGUUUUUAUUCUUUACAAUUAUUUUCUACAAUUAUUUUUCUUUAUUAUUUUUAAUUAUUUCAGGUUUAUUCAUCUAUAGUUACAAGGAUACAACUUAAUAGAAAAUAAAUAUUUUUCAGGAAAUAUUCUGAACAUAUUUAUAAUACUUCUAUUUCUCAUAGUAUAAAUAGGUCUUACAAAUUACAAUACAAGUAGUUGUCUUUAUAUACUAGAGGGUCCGGCCUUUAGAGUAAAAAAUAAACCACUGCAUACAAGGGCAAACCAAUUAAAUCUAGUCAAAGCUUUGUCUUUUAUUCAGGUGCUCAUGACCUUCUUGGAGUGAAAGGAACUAUAGCAAACAACAGAUCUUCUAAAAACUUCUAAAGCACUGAAAAAUUUUCAACCACACUUGACUGUGCCACAUGACUCCAAAAAAAAAAAAGAAAAAAAAAGUGUUGACUAGGCUGAAUUGUUUAAAUAAAAAACUGCUUGUUCCCAUGCCAGAGCCCAAUGUGCCACUAAGAAGUCCAAGAGACUUUCAGUUCCCAGAUAUGAGUCCUAUAAACGUUGAUCCCCGACACCACAACCGAUGCGCUACAGAAAUAAAAUCUCUUAUUAGAGCCCAGACCCUGAAAUUACCCAAAUUCAGCGCACAUGGAAAUCAUAAGACAGCGUCAGCAAGGGGGAAGUUUGCACCAAGUGGCUUUUCAGCAUGUGGCAAUAGAGGGCCGGGCAUUUCAAACGUGCCAAUUAGUUCCCUCUGCCAGAAUGAAGUAGGUAAGAGGGUGGAAGAGGAAGAUGCCAAAUUAUACUGACACAAACAAAACUGCUAGAAAUACCCAAAUAUCCACUAUACAACUGUAUAUCUUGCUUAGAGGGCAUCUCCUAUGGUUUCAUGCUCAUUAAUUAAUGACAGCUGCUAUGACACGUACAUUAUUAAUGUAAAACAUGCAGACCUAGAGUAAAUGUAUCCAGAAAAUCCAUUUCAGGCACAAUGUUUUUAUUAUAUUUCUUAUCUUAGCAGGUCACAAUGAUCGGCUGCAUCUGAAAUUCGUCCAACAAUUCAGCAAAUCAACACUCCACUCACACAUGUGGCAUUAUCAGUUCAUCUUAAUGCCAGUCAAAAUAUAGACCACACAUUUUCUCCAACCAGCCUUUAGCCUCAGGAGUCAUUCUGUCUUUAUGAGCAAAACCAGAACUGACAGAAUACUAAACUAAUUACAUGGACUGAACGAAGAGUUGUAUCAGAAGACUGCACAGGAUCAAGAAAAUGAUGUUGUCCCUGGUCAAAUGAUUCCAGACUUCUGAUGCAAUUGCACAAAACGUGCUCUUGAGUUUUUCCAGAUCAUUCAAUAUUGCUGACAUGCUUCAUGUGCACUUUGAUAUUCUUAAUAUAUGCUUGUUUUUUUGAUUGUUUGUUUUUAAUAAAUAAAAACUCUGGAUGGUUGAAACCCUCGCCUGCAGUGCUCACGUAUGGUCAUGUAUAUUAUAGGCUCCCUUCUUAAAAUAACUCCUGACCGACAGAAUUGCUGUGUAGAAGGACCUGGGAAAGGGCAACAAAGCCGGAGUAACAAAUAAUGCAUAAUGUCUAUAGCAUAAUAACAAGAGUGGCAUUGUUCUGCUGGUGCCCCACUGCAUAAAUGAUGUUAAAGGGACAGUUCACUCAAAAAUUAAAAGUCUAUCAUCAUUUAUUCACCCUCACGUUGUUGUAAACCUGCAUGACUUCCUUUUUUCCACAACAGGAGCUGUAAGGCACAAUGUCUUGACUGACACACAUGAAAAAUAUGCAGUGAAAGUGAAUAGUAACUGAAUGCCAUCCUGCCGAACAUCUCCCUUUGUUUUACAUUGAAAUAAUAAAGUCGUACAUGUUUUGAGUCGUUACAACAUUGAGUAAAUGAUGACAGGAUUUUGAUUUUUGGCUGAACUAGCGUUUUAACGCGCGUGAGCGUUACUUAAAUCUCACUGUACGUUUCUUUGAAGCCCCACCAAAAAUAUCGCCAAAACAGGUCAAAUAAUACUUUAUAACAGAGCGGUAUGGAUAUAAGAGUUGGUGUGAACUGCAACUGUGAAAUAUUACGAUUUGGAAACGUAAAAUAAAUAAAUAAACCUCAUUAUGCGUUAUAGCAAACAUAGCGAUGUUUGAUUAUAAUGCGAUUAGAACAGAACUCAGCAGGCAUCGUCUUUAAAGCAGCCUACGGCUUUUGGUUAAAGAACAGAAAAAAGAAAAAGAAAAAAAAAGACCACUAUGUUUGUAUAAUAUAUCUAUGUGGGAGUCUGCGUUUCAAAAUAUGCACGCUCAUCCACCGACGGUGGCAUCUUCAAAAAAAAAAAAAAAAAAAAAAAAUGUACUAAAUCUUAUCCAUGUACGUGUUUGGAAUUAAUUUUUCAUAAUCACACCCGACUGAACCAGUUCAAAUGUAUGCAUAAGUAAACAAAACAUUGACGCGAUUGCACAACACUAAUAUGUGGCAUAUUUUACAUAAGAUAAAGCAUCUUAUAAGAAGUGAGCUCGCGCACAAGCAGCUUAGUGAUAGAAGAAUGUCCCGCGACACUUGCUCUGUAUGUUUAUGUAUUUUACCAGAGAAUAUGUGCUGUGCAAUAUAGAUUACCUGUGGUCAAGAGUUCAACUUCAUUAUCUAGUUCGAUUACAUGACAGAACUACAUUGCGCCCUGCACUUGCUCCUAAUCAAGCGCUUGACAAGAAAUUGAGACCACGAGGCACUAAAAUGAGAGUUACAGCGACAAAAUAUGCACUCCGAUCCGGCUAUGGGUAUGUUUUGGUGACCUCUCAGAAAUUGCCCAGCAGUAGCUGAACCAGUUAAAUGCUCACUUAAAGGCUGGCUAAGAAAUGGAAAGCAGAAUCCUCUUGAGAGGAGCUCCAGGAUGAGGAUGACGGCUCCGGGCUCGCCUGUCCACACCCCCACAAACACUAGGCUGAAGCACACUGCCUUUGCUCGCCAGAUUUUUCCAGGAACUGAGGAAAUAGAGUGAGUGGCUGGGAGUGGGUGUCGUCUGUAACUUAUUUGCAUCCGCACCGAGUCUGCUUUCUGUGGCUGAGGUACAGACAUCAAUAGGAAGAAAAGCAUGAAUAUGGAAACGAGAGAAGUUCUGCUUUAGGUGCAAAUGACCCAGAUGAAGAUCCACACAACCUUUCUUUCACACGUUCUCUUUCCUUUUAAAAGCAUUCACACCUGAUGCUCAGGGGUGUAUGGCAAAUGAUGUUAUUCUAGAAAAGUGAACAGAACAUACACACUUUAACA